GGGGAGAUUCCCGAGUGGCCAAAGGGGGCAGACUGUAAAUCUGUUGCGUUUCGCUUCGAUGGUUCGAAUCCAUCUCUCCCCACCA
Molecule: transfer RNA, 85 nt
Filed under: Feifania hominis
Lineage: Bacteria; Bacillati; Bacillota; Clostridia; Eubacteriales; Feifaniaceae
Description: Clostridiales bacterium BX7 tRNA-Tyr
Rfam family: tRNA
About the family: Transfer RNA (tRNA) molecules are approximately 80 nucleotides in length. Their secondary structure includes four short double-helical elements and three loops (D, anti-codon, and T loops). Further hydrogen bonds mediate the characteristic L-shaped molecular structure. tRNAs have two regions of fundamental functional importance: the anti-codon, which is responsible for specific mRNA codon recognition, and the 3' end, to which the tRNAs corresponding amino acid is attached (by aminoacyl-tRNA synthetases). tRNAs cope with the degeneracy of the genetic code in two manners: having more than one tRNA (with a specific anti-codon) for a particular amino acid; and 'wobble' base-pairing, i.e. permitting non-standard base-pairing at the 3rd anti-codon position.
Source: RNAcentral